This 465-nucleotide ribosomal RNA is filed under the name Vreelandella stevensii. RNAcentral describes it as "partial 16S ribosomal RNA". It matches the Rfam family "Bacterial small subunit ribosomal RNA", at positions 338 to 795 of the family's 1533-position model. Lineage: Bacteria; Pseudomonadati; Pseudomonadota; Gammaproteobacteria; Oceanospirillales; Halomonadaceae. The record is from RNAcentral.
CCUACGGCGGGCAGCAGUGGGGAAUAUUGGACAAUGGGCGAAAGCCUGAUCCAGCCAUGCCGCGUGUGUGAAGAAGGCCUUCGGGUUGUAAAGCACUUUCAGUGGGGAAGAAAGCCUUGGGGCUAAUACCCUCGAGGAAGGACAUCACCCACAGAAGAAGCACCGGCUAACUCCGUGCCAGCAGCCGCGGUAAUACGGAGGGUGCGAGCGUUAAUCGGAAUUACUGGGCGUAAAGCGCGCGUAGGCGGUCUGAUAAGCCGGUUGUGAAAGCCCCGGGCUCAACCUGGGAACGGCAUCCGGAACUGUCAGGCUAGAGUGCAGGAGAGGAAGGUAGAAUUCCCGGUGUAGCGGUGAAAUGCGUAGAGAUCGGGAGGAAUACCAGUGGCGAAGGCGGCCUUCUGGACUGACACUGACGCUGAGGUGCGAAAGCGUGGGUAGCAAACAGGAUUAGAUACCCUUGUAGUC